AGCUUCUUUACAGUGCUGCCUUGUUGCGUUCAUGUCAAGCAGCAUUGUACAGGGCUAUGA
RNAcentral lists this microRNA precursor (60 nucleotides) under Columba livia (rock pigeon). Its description in RNAcentral is "Cli-Mir-103-P2_pre stem-loop". It matches the Rfam family "mir-103/107 microRNA precursor family", at positions 11 to 70 of the family's 78-position model. From Rfam's summary of the family: This family consists of the mammalian microRNA (miRNA) precursors mir-103 and mir107. The record is from RNAcentral. Lineage: Eukaryota; Metazoa; Chordata; Aves; Columbiformes; Columbidae. RNAcentral also lists the same sequence under 1 other name.